CAAAGGUCCCAACCACAAAUUUUCUGGACACAAGAAAUGUCUGCAUGUGCUUUGAAAUAUUUGGCCCAGUUGGUUGCUGAUGGAAUUCGAGUAGACAAAGGAUUCAAAAGCUCGCACUAUAAUCAAUGUGCUAAAGUGGUGAAGGAAAGAUUUCAUGUUCAAGUUUCUGGUUCUCAAGUUACUAAUCAUCUUAAGACAUGGAGAAGCUCGCACUAUAAGAACUACCAUUAUAUGGCUGUCAUAUUUGGGAAUCAUCAAGCAACUGGACUGUUUGCGAAAUGCACCAGUGAUCCCCUAGGUUUCGACACAUCUGAAAGUGCAGGUACAUAUGGUGUGGGUUAUUCUGGAGACUUGGCUGGUCAUGAGAGUAACAAUGCAAGUCCAACUCGUGAUAGUGGAGAAUCAUUGAACCCAAGUGGUCCAAUUCCUGAUGGUGGAGACUCAUCUACUCGAAGUGGUGCAAGAAGGAAGAGAGGGCGCAUGAUGAUGGAAGAUGAGGAUCCAUUGAUAUGCACUGUCACUUUUAAGACUCUUUCAGAUGCAAUCAAGCAGUCAGCACCACAACCACGUCCGAUAAUCCCACCCAACCUAUGGACUAUGAUGAAACAGAUUCCUGUUUUUGAAAGAGAACAUAUGUCACACCCGGUUUUAGAAGGCAAACCGAAUGCGAAC
RNAcentral lists this unclassified non-coding RNA (672 nucleotides) under Zea mays. RNAcentral describes it as "misc RNA Zm00001eb171830". The record is from RNAcentral. Lineage: Eukaryota; Viridiplantae; Streptophyta; Magnoliopsida; Poales; Poaceae.